Non-coding RNA from Amoeboaphelidium occidentale, 72 nucleotides. Lineage: Eukaryota; Fungi; Aphelidiomycota; Aphelidea. The record is from the annotation of a GenBank genome assembly.
UCCGCAUUGGUCUAGUGGCAUUGAUUUUUCGUUCUCACCGAGAAGGCCGGGGUUCGAUUCCCCGAUGCGGAA